GGAUGAGCCCGCGGCCUAUCAGCUUGUUGGUGAGGUAACGGCUCACCAAGGCGACGACGGGUAGCCGACCUGAGAGGGCGACCGGCCACACUGGGACUGAGACACGGCCCAGACUCCUACGGGAGGCAGCAGUGGGGAAUAUUGCACAAUGGGCGAAAGCCUGAUGCAGCGACGCCGCGUGAGGGAUGACGGCCUUCGGGUUGUAAACCUCUUUCAGCAGGGAAGAAGCGAAAGUGACGGUACCUGCAGAAGAAGCGCCGGCUAACUACGUGCCAGCAGCCGCGGCCG
Molecule: ribosomal RNA, 288 nt
Filed under: uncultured Streptomyces sp.
Lineage: Bacteria; Bacillati; Actinomycetota; Actinomycetes; Kitasatosporales; Streptomycetaceae
Description: partial 16S ribosomal RNA
Rfam family: Bacterial small subunit ribosomal RNA
Source: RNAcentral